This 5564-nucleotide long non-coding RNA is filed under the name Marmota monax (woodchuck). Lineage: Eukaryota; Metazoa; Chordata; Mammalia; Rodentia; Sciuridae. The record is from RNAcentral.
GCCCCGGAACCGGCAUCCGGCUGCGCGCUGUCCUCACAACCUAGGGAAGUCUGCGGGACCCACCUGGCACGCCCGAGAAAACUGAGGCCCAAGGCUGAAAGUGACCUGCCCGAGGUUCCCCAGAGUGAGUUCUCCCUGAGUCGAGCAGCCAACCCAUAACUUCUAACUCCCAGACCUAGGAAAGGUAGGGGCUUUGAGGUCCACUGCCCCCUUUAAAAUCGGAAGUGAGAUCGCGUCUCUCUCUCUCCCUCAGACUUGAAGGAUUUAGGCUGUCCCUUUCCCUACCGAUGUCCCUCUUUUAGUUCCCAGAGAUCGACCAUUUCUUCUUCCUGACUUUGGCAUCAUGGGGACCUUCGUGAAGGGGCAGAAAAAUGAGGCAACCUGGUGUCUGCCCCUGCUGGCAGGGAGCUCCCUAGCUAUAGAGUCUAGUAAGGUAACAGCGGCCUUUUAUGGAUAGCUUCCUCCAAGCUUAACAUGAUCUCAUUCGGCCCUCACAACCACCAUAUGAGGGUGGUACUAUUAUUAACCCCAUUUUACAGCCGAGGAAAGGGAGAUUCAGAGAAGGGGAACAGCUGUUAUGUGGCAGAGCCGGGCCUGGAAGGUUUUGUCUGAUUCGUAGUCUUUGCUCUUAAUAACCCUAUUCUGUCCCUUUUAGCAUAAUUACAGAAGGCUGAAUGGGGUACAUGUGCCUCCCCAACAAGAAACCUUGGGAGAUUAAAAGCUACAAAGACACUCUGGCUUGAAACUAUCAGGAUAGGUUUUCAGAAAGAAAGUGUAGAGCAGUCUGGCCCUUGAAAGAAGAUGGGAGGACAUUAUCUAGUACAGAAGCCUGGCACAGAUGCCCAUUCACUUUCCAGGUACUCAGGAGACCUGGUGGAGGCCAGUUCUGUUUAGUGAAGGGACUGCUGGACUCUCAAAGGCCACUCACCCAUGUUCAAGUAGUUAUUUUUAUCAGGCUGUUUGGUUUGUUUGUGUUUUCCCUUUCUUUCUUUAAAUCUCUGGUUGCAGGGAGGAGAGAUAAGAUUCCAGGAUGGCCACACUAAGCUCCUUUGUGUGUCCUAGAGACCCCAGUUGGGUAUGCAGUUCUUGGUCACUGUUGAGCAAAAGUGAGUGGAAGUGAAACACUUGAAUACCAUGAAAAGGGCAUGCACAGGCCCCCACAACUCCACCAAGAGCCCUAUGACACUGUUCUGUCUCCCAUUCCUUCUCUGGGCUUGAGAUGUCCAUGGUGGACUCUAUGAACCCUUGUGCUCUAAAAAUCUCCAUUCCCUUAGAAUCACAUCAUUUCACAUCAUUUCACAAGUGAUCUGGAUUCCACUGCCAGAUCAUGAUCUCCUUGAAGGUAGGAACUACAUCUUUUCCACUUCUAUAUCCCACUAAAUAGUUUGAUGCCCCUGGCUCUUUGUAGGACAUUAACAAAUAUGUGUGAAGUGAAUGAAUGUUCAUAUCUCAGGUGCAAGCACAAGAGGUACCCAUUUGGAAAAGCCUCAGUUUCCUCCAUGCACUAGAUGUGUGGUUGAUCCUGGAUAACUCAAUUAACCUCCCAGUGUGUAAGGUGGGGACUUUAACAGGACCUAAUAGGAUUGCUUAGGGGAUGGAACAAGAAAAUGAAGCAUUUAACACUAGUGCCUGGGAGCUGAGGCUGGCCUGGUCCCCCUCCUGGCCUGAUUCCAGUCUGUCAGUGUAGCAACGCAAGAUUCCAGAUAUGGCCUGACUAGGCCAGCACAAUAGGCCUAUUAUUUCCCCCAGUCUGGACACGACACAUUGUUAAUGCAGCCUAAGACUGCUGGGCUUCAGAGCCUUUCUCUCCCAUGAUUAGUUCCCAUCAGGUUGUGGUCAACUAAAUCAUUCAGAUUCUUUUCACCGGAGCUGGGGUCAAGUUAGGUCUCUCCCCCAUCCUCUGCUUUGUGUAAUAUUGUCAAGUUCACAGCAGUUCACAAUGUCAUCUUGCUUAUCCCAAGCUGUGGAAACUGUUUUGAAGGCUGGCUCUAUUGCCCAGUGUUUUCUCACUCCAAAUUUAGAUCCAGGCUGCCCCUUGCAACUUCAACUCCACCUUCCAUAUUCUUGGUCAGAAUAGAGCCCCGUACACACCACUAGAAAUACUCAUUCACCAUUUACUAAAUCAGGGCAUAGUUAAUUCAAUAACUCUCAGUUAUCAAGCACCCACUGUAUGCUGGGCCAGCAUUGUACUAAGUACUUUUGCCUUAUGUAGAUCAUCAUGUUUACUCCUUAAAACACCACUGGGGACUGGUCCCAUUCUGUAGAUGAUAAACCUAAAACUAAGAGAAGAGAAGCAGGGAUUAUAUUUUACAAACCUAUUUUACGGCCCCCUUUUUCUUAUGAUGAGCUUGGUGGUUGUCUUCCAGGUGCCUACAAUCCUGACCAUUUGACACAUUGGGCCCAUUGGACAUUUUCCUUCCCACCUGCUUACCCCCAUACCGUCAGGCCUGGAGCCCAAGGGACUUUGUUGAGGCUCUAGUCCAUAGCAGGCAGAUGGCAUCCUCUGUAGCUUGGUUAGCUUCAAGAGCCUGGAGCAGAAACCUGGGCCCAUUCUGUGCAGCAACAUUUUCUUCAUCUAGGACAGCAGCGAAAACAAGGGCUUCUCCCUGAGAGGCAAACAGCUCCCCACUCUGUGGUGGGACCACACUUUCUGGGCCUAGUCCAGCCUCACAGCCAAGGACAAGCGAACUGAAGAGCUCCCCUGCUUGCUCUCCACCUGUCUGCUCCCUCACAGGGCAUGAAGUCCCACCUAGUAUCCUCCUUUACAUGCUCUAGCAUACUCUUCAGAGGGCCACCCGGGAGGCUACUGGGCCUCAUGAGCUUCCUGGAAGGCAGAGAAGCAGUGUUAAGUGCAAAGAUCCCAGAGACGAUUACCUGGCUUCAGACCUCGUCUUUAUCAUUGCAUUUUACUCUUGGGCAAAUAAUGAAUCUCUUUCAGCCUUAGUUUCCCCAUCUGCCAAAUGGGGAUAAUAAUUGUACCUAUCUCCUAGGGUUGGCAUGAGAAUUAAGUGGAGCACUCAGUGUGCUUGACAUGAAAUAAGCACUUAAAAAUGUUUAUUGUUAUCAUUAUCAUUAUUUGGGCAAAAUUCAUCAAGUAAGACCAUUCAGGCCAGAGGUAAGAAAAUUUGCUUAUAAACGAUUAGGGGCUAGAUAUAUGUCUGGCGACUCAAGAUGGUACAGUGGGCUGAUGCCAGGGCAGGAUUACCAGGUGGAGCUGUUGCAGAGUUGAUGCUAGGAUAUUGUUGCUGAGUGAAAGUUGUUGAUGGAUUGCCAUAGUUGCUGGGUGGAGUAGCUUUCAAUCUGUUAUCCAGUGGUAAGAUCUUUCCAGUCGCUACCUGGCAGAACUACUACCCUGACUUCUAUAGAAAAGGGGCCAAGCCCGUACUUUGAAACAUGAGUGUCUCAGCAGCCACUAGCAAAUUUUUUCAUCCAGGGUGGUGGUGCUCCAAGAGAAUGGCCAAGUUGAAGAAAUUAGGGUUGGGCAGGCCCAGAGCAAGGGCUUCCUGGAAUAGCUGCUGUGAUGGCAAUGCCUUGGCCUAUUCCCCAUCUUGUCUCUUUGUUUGCCCUUUUGGGAGGAGGUAGGGCAGAAGGGUCCCAAGAGAGGUUCUUUGAGGGCCCUUAAAGUCACUUGAGGCUGCCAGUUCCUGUCUAGAUCAUAUUGGUUGGGUAAUUGUGAAGCAGGAGAGGCCUCAGGACUGAUCCGUCUCUCAGGAGUCUAUAGACCAUGCCACAGAGAGGCCUCCUUUGCUGGCUUUGAGCUGGGUGAUGGGCCUGACCUCUGAGCCUCAGUUCUCUCAGAGAUGAGGGGUAUGGAGAGUGCUCAGAGAUUCUUUGGGACAGCUGGUACUCCUCCACACACACUGCCUGUCACCAAUCAGUGUCUCAGGGUCUUUAAGUCCUAGCCUUUUUCAAGUUCAAGGUCCUUUUCCCCAGAAGAAAGAAAGAGCCCUUACUCUGUGCUGAGAAGAUGUAAGAAUGACCAAGUGGAAGAAGCUGGAUGAUGUCAGCUUUGGCUCAAAGAGCUACGCUUCUGAGGCCAUGGGACAGCAUGUAAGAAGGCCCAGUGGCUCAACCAUGCUACUAGGUAGCCUCAGGGACCUUUUACAUCAUAGAAGAAGAUCCUUGAGCAGGAGUACAGACAGAGCCUGACCUUGGUGGAGAGGACAGAGACUGAUGUCUGAGUAAUACCUCUCUUUUCGUAGCUGGCCAAAACUGUGCCCUCCUCCUGCUCAUACUAUGUUCCUGCAAGGAGACCAUGCCUUAGCCUGCUGGCCUUGACCAUCUCAGAGUUGAAGAGUCUCAUGGGUCAGUUCAACAGGUGCAGAUCUUCUUGGAUACCUCCUAGAGUCCUGUCUCCACUUUGGGCUUCCUUUUUAUCCAUCUGAACACACACAUGAAAGAAUAUCAGGCAACCCAGUGCUGUAUGAAAUCUGCUUUCCACCCCCACUAUGUCAAGUCAGCACCUCCAGCUUCUCAUGAUUAUGCUGUGAUCUCGUGCUGAUCGAGAGCAAGAGAUAAUGGCAUAGCUGGGAACUAGAGUCCACCUUGUCGAGUCUGAAUCCAGUUCUGUCUCUGGCUAUCUGUGUGACUUUGGGCAAGUCACAACUUCUCUGAGCAUCAUCUAUCUGAUCUGUAGCAAUGCCUUAUGGUGUUAUCUUGAUGAUCUGAUGAGAGGAUGUGUAUGUACAAAACAGGUGAUAGUUUCUUUCUUUCUUUUUUUUUUAAUCUUUUCCCUGAUUGGCAGGAUGUAUGCCUUUGAUUAACAGAUACCGAGAAAACAAAUUUCUUGCUAUGCUCUGAGAUUCAACACGUAAGCAGAAUUGAGAACACCAAAUUCUGUUUGAGGGGCAGAGGUCUAAGAAGGCUUCAUAGAGGAGGUGAUGAUGGAGCCAGGCCGUAUCAGGUAAGUAGGAGUUCCUGAGAUAGACAAGGGUGUGUGAGGCGAAGGGAGCACCAUAGGCAUGCAGGUGUGAUGGAGGUUGGUGUGCCCCAGACCAGCGAGCAGCUUGGGCUGGUGGGGCUUUUGCUGGAUAAGAAUCAGCACUGUGAGGUUGAGAUAGAAGGAAGCCUUGCACCCUCCUCCUGAAGAGGGUGGGAGCCAUGGAAGGGACUGAGCAGAGCAGUGAAAUGACUACAUCUGUGUUUUCUAAAGAAUACAUUGCCAUUUGUCAUCUUUAAAGUUGAUCCCUCACUGGUCCCCUCUGAUCCAAUCACAGGUGAAUUUUCGAAAAACCAAGUCUGGCCGAGUGUGGUGGCUCAUGCCUGUAAUCCCAGCAGCUCAGGAGGCUGAGGCAGGAAGAUCGAGAGUUCAAAGCCAGCCUCAGCAAAACCCGAGGCACUAAACAACUCAGUGAGACCCUAUCUCUAAAUAAAAUACAAAAAAUAGGGCUGGAAUUUGGUUCAGUAGUCAAGUGCCCCUGAGUUCAAUCCCUGGUACAAAAAAAAAAAAAAAAAAAACCUGACCAUUUUAUCCCCCCGUUUAAAAUCAUUUAUUGAACAAAUUAUUUUUAUUGAACAAAUUGUUUUAUUUAAUAAAUGAUGGAUUAAAGAAUAAAUGGAUGGAG